GAUAGCCCGGGGAAACCCGGAUUAAUACCGCGUACGCCCUUCGGGGGAAAGCAGGGGAUCUUCGGACCUUGCGCUAUUGGAUGUGCCUAUGUCGGAUUAGCUAGUUGGUGGGGUAAAGGCCUACCAAGGCGACGAUCCGUAGCUGGUCUGAGAGGAUGAUCAGCCACAUCGGGACUGAGACACGGCCCGAACUCCUACGGGAGGCAGCAGUGGGGAAUAUUGGACAAUGGGGGCAACCCUGAUCCAGCCAUGCCGCGUGUGUGAAGAAGGCUUUCGGGUUGUAAAGCACUUUCAGUGAGGAGGAAAACUCUGCGACUAAUACUCGUAGGGCUUGACGUUACUCACAGAAGAAGCACCGGCUAACUCCGUGCCAGCAGCCGCGGUAAUACGGAGGGUGCAAGCGUUAAUCGGAAUUACUGGGCGUAAAGCGCGCGUAGGUGGUUUGAUAAGCGAGAUGUGAAAGCCCCGGGCUUAACCUGGGAACGGCAUUUCGAACUGUCAGGCUAGAGUGUGGUAGAGGGUAGUGGAAUUUCCUGUGUAGCGGUGAAAUGCGUAGAUAUAGGAAGGAACACCAGUGGCGAAGGCGGCUACCUGGACCAACACUGACACUGAGGUGCGAAAGCGUGGGGAGCAAACAG
This 638-nucleotide ribosomal RNA is filed under the name Halobacillus sp. TA7. RNAcentral's name for it is "bacterial SSU rRNA". It matches the Rfam family "Bacterial small subunit ribosomal RNA", at positions 142 to 775 of the family's 1533-position model. The record is from RNAcentral. Lineage: Bacteria; Bacillati; Bacillota; Bacilli; Caryophanales; Bacillaceae.